AAUCAAGUCCGGAGAUAGCUGGUUCUCCUCGAAAUCUAUUUAGGUAGAGCGUCAAUCGAAUACUCCGGGGGGUAGAGCACUGGAUGGGCUAUGGGGUCCCAACGACUUACUGAUCCUAACCAAACUCCGAAUACCCGGAAGUAAUAAUUGGCAGACACACUGCGGGUGCUAACGUCCGUAGUGGAGAGGGCAACAACCCUGACCUCCAGUUAAGGUCCCCAAGUCAUGGCUAAGUGGGAAAGGAUGUGAGAAUCCCAAAACAACCAGGAUGUUGGCUUAGAAG
Molecule: ribosomal RNA, 283 nt
Filed under: Calcidiscus leptoporus
Lineage: Eukaryota; Haptophyta; Coccolithales; Calcidiscaceae
Description: partial Bacterial large subunit ribosomal RNA
Rfam family: Bacterial large subunit ribosomal RNA
Source: RNAcentral